RNAcentral lists this ribosomal RNA (253 nucleotides) under uncultured bacterium. Its description in RNAcentral is "partial 16S ribosomal RNA". It matches the Rfam family "Bacterial small subunit ribosomal RNA", at positions 524 to 776 of the family's 1533-position model. The record is from RNAcentral.
UACAGAGGUGGCAAGCGUUGUUCGGAAUUACUGGGCGUAAAGGGCGCGUAGGCGGUCUUAUAAGUCUCGUGUGAAAUCCCUCGGCUUAACUGAGGAACUGCACGGGAUACUGCAAGACUUGAGUUCGGGAGAGGGAAGCGGAAUUCCGGGUGUAGCGGUGAAAUGCGUAGAUAUCCGGAGGAACACCGGUGGCGAAGGCGGCUCACUGGCCCGAUACUGACGCUGAGGCACGAAAGCGUGGGGAGCAAACAGG